Raphanus sativus (radish) is the source of this 717-nucleotide long non-coding RNA. RefSeq lists it as uncharacterized. The transcript has 2 exons. The record is from RefSeq and is a predicted model, not a curated record. Lineage: Eukaryota; Viridiplantae; Streptophyta; Magnoliopsida; Brassicales; Brassicaceae.
AGUUCCUGAGAAUAGGGUGACAUAGGGUUUAGGUCUAACAUAAAGGAUUUGGGGUUCACUGUAAAAUUGCUUUUGAUUGUAUAAGAUUACACUGGUAAACGAUUUUACAGUAUAAGCACGCCUCAUCUCUCUCUACCAAAUCUCUGAUGCAUACGGUGCAUCUUCUACAAAAUCUAACUAAAGAUUUCCGUCCUAUACAUACAGAAGAUUGUAUUAUUGAUAUAUUAUCGAAUUCUUCAUCCUCCGAGCCUCUAUAUAAGUGAGUUGCCCGGUUUUAUCAUUUCAAGAACACACAGUCGAUCAAAGUAGAGGUACAAUCGAAGAAAGUCUUAAGUUUGCAAAAGCUUUUCUUUAAGAAGAUGGAUCGCGUAUUUCGUCUGUGGCGAGGGGUUUGGAAGAAGAAUGAAAGGCUCCACUGGCAUUUCGUCCCCACCCCUACUGAUUACGGGUUCACCAUGUUCAUGGAUUCUCCUGAGACUUUCGAGAGGGUUGAAGCAGCUGUGAGGGAACAUUAUGUUCUCGGUCUACGAUUAUAGGGGUUAAUGGCUCGGAAAGGCUGUAAAGGCAACAGAGUCUUAACGCACAUCAAACAAUGUCGUUUUUUUGGGUUUUCCUAUAUCAUUAAAUACGCAUAAGUGUCUUGGUAUAGCUCCAAAUUUCUCUUAGUUUUAUGGGUUACAAUUCAAAAUAAAAUGAUAAGGAGUGAAUUAGCUCAUC